CUCUGAACUUGCCUUGACCUGUCAAGACUCCUGAUUUCACUUCUUAAAAAUGAAGUCUGUCUCUCAGCUCCUGUGGCUGUUAAUGCUCUGGAUCCCUGGAUCCAAUGGAGAUGUUGUGAUGACCCAGACUCCACUUUCCCUGCUUGUCACCCUGGGAGAGCCAGCCUCCAUCUCCUGCAGGUCUAGUCAGAGCCUUCUGUAUAGCGAUGGGAACACCUAUUUUUAUUGGUUCCUACAGAAGCCAGGCCAGUCUUUACAUCGCCUGAUCUACUUGGUUUCCAAAAGAGGAUCUGGGGUCCCAGACAGAUUCAGUAGCAGUGGGUCAGGCUCAGAUUUCACACUGACAAUCAGCAGGGUGGAGGCUGAGGAUGUUGGAGUUUAUUACUGUUUUCAAGGUACACAUGUUCCUCCCACAGUGAUACAGCCUUGAACAAAAACCUCCCAUCUGGC
Molecule: non-coding RNA, 450 nt
Organism: Dipodomys ordii (Ord's kangaroo rat)
Lineage: Eukaryota; Metazoa; Chordata; Mammalia; Rodentia; Heteromyidae
Source: the annotation of a RefSeq genome assembly